RNAcentral lists this non-coding RNA (214 nucleotides) under Bacillus manliponensis. RNAcentral describes it as "T-box sequence". It matches the Rfam family "T-box leader". From Rfam's summary of the family: Uncharged tRNA acts as the effector for transcription antitermination of genes in the T-box leader family. Lineage: Bacteria; Bacillati; Bacillota; Bacilli; Caryophanales; Bacillaceae. The record is from RNAcentral.
UAAAAAGUGAUGAACAGGAAAAGUACAUGAUGAACUGAUCUACAGAGAGCAAUCAGUAGCUGAAAAGAUUGCGGUGCGGCAUGAUGGAAAGACACCUGUGAGCGUUACUUUGAACGUGAACAACUAGUAAAAGUAAACGGCGCCUGCCGUUAUCAGGUAUAGAGUGGUCAAUGAUGACAAUUUGGGUGGUACCGCGGUUCAAUCCGUCCCUUGU